AAUAGAUACCCCGGUAGUCCACGCCGUAAACGAUGAGUGCUAAGUGUUGGGGGUUUCCGCCCCUCAGUGCUGCAGCUAACGCAUUAAGCACUCCGCCUGGGGAGUACGGCCGCAAGGCUGAAACUCAAAGGAAUUGACGGGGGCCCGCACAAGCGGUGGAGCAUGUGGUUUAAUUCGAAGCAACGCGAAGAACCUUACCAGGUCUUGACAUCCCGCUGCCCGGUAUAGAGAUAUAUCUUUCCCUUCGGGGACAGCGGUGACAGGUGGUGCAUGGUUGUCGUCAGCUCGUGUCGUGAGAUGUUGGGUUAAGUCCCGCAACGAGCGCAACCCUUGAUCUUAGUUGCCAGCAUUUAGUUGGGCACUCUAAGGUGACUGCCGGUGACAAACCGGAGGAAGGUGGGGAUGACGUCAAAUCAUCAUGCCCCUUAUGACCUGGGCUACACACGUGCUACAAUGGAUGGUACAAAGGGCUGCAAGACCGCGAGGUUUAGCCAAUCCCAUAAAACCAUUCUCAGUUCGGAUUGCAGG
RNAcentral lists this ribosomal RNA (528 nucleotides) under uncultured bacterium. RNAcentral's name for it is "bacterial SSU rRNA". It matches the Rfam family "Bacterial small subunit ribosomal RNA", at positions 777 to 1304 of the family's 1533-position model. The record is from RNAcentral.